UACAGAGGGGGCAAGCGUUAUUCGGAAUUAUUGGGCGUAAAGGGCGCGUAGGCGGCUUGGCAAGUGGAUGGUGAAAUCCCUCGGCUUAACCGAGGAACUGCCGUCCAAACUGCUUCGCUUGAGACCGGGAGAGGUGAGUGGAAUUCCCAGUGUAGCGGUGAAAUGCGUAGAUAUUGGGAGGAACACCAGUGGCGAAGGCGGCUCACUGGACCGGUACUGACGCUGAUGCGCGAAAGCGUGGGGAGCAAACGGGG
RNAcentral lists this ribosomal RNA (254 nucleotides) under uncultured bacterium. RNAcentral describes it as "partial 16S ribosomal RNA". It matches the Rfam family "Bacterial small subunit ribosomal RNA", at positions 524 to 777 of the family's 1533-position model. The record is from RNAcentral.